UACGUAGGGUGCAAGCGUUGUCCGGAAUUAUUGGGCGUAAAGAGCUUGUAGGCGGUUUGUCGCGUCUGCUGUGAAAUUUCGGGGCUCAACCCCGAACUUGCAGUGGGUACGGGCAGACUAGAGUGUGGUAGGGGAGACUGGAAUUCCUGGUGUAGCGGUGAAAUGCGUAGAUAUCAGGAGGAACACCCGUGGCGAAGGCGGCUUCCUGGGGCCAUCCUGACACUGAGAAGCGAAAGCUAGGGGAGCGAACGGG
Molecule: ribosomal RNA, 253 nt
Filed under: uncultured bacterium
Lineage: Bacteria
Description: partial 16S ribosomal RNA
Rfam family: Bacterial small subunit ribosomal RNA
Source: RNAcentral